RNAcentral lists this small nuclear RNA (104 nucleotides) under Meriones unguiculatus (Mongolian gerbil). Lineage: Eukaryota; Metazoa; Chordata; Mammalia; Rodentia; Muridae. The record is from RNAcentral.
GCGUUCCCUUUGGCAGCACAUAUACUAAAAUUGGAACGAUACAGAGAUUAGCAUGGCCCUUGUGCAAGGAUGACACGCAAAUUUGUGAAGCAUUCCAUAUUUUU